This 175-nucleotide microRNA precursor is filed under the name Manihot esculenta (cassava). RNAcentral describes it as "MIR168 microRNA precursor family". It matches the Rfam family "MIR168 microRNA precursor family". Lineage: Eukaryota; Viridiplantae; Streptophyta; Magnoliopsida; Malpighiales; Euphorbiaceae. The record is from Rfam by way of RNAcentral.
UUACCGGCGGUCUCUAAUUCGCUUGGUGCAGGUCGGGAACUGAUUAGCUUCGCUUGCAUAUGUACGUAUAUGUUUUCUCCUUAUUAUGCCAGAUGGCAAGUCUUGAUUGGUUGAGAUCGGACAGAAGCGAAUUGGAUCCCGCCUUGCAUCAACUGAAUCGGAGACCGCGGUGAAG